Molecule: transfer RNA, 77 nt
Filed under: Leuconostoc gasicomitatum
Lineage: Bacteria; Bacillati; Bacillota; Bacilli; Lactobacillales; Lactobacillaceae
Also listed under: 3 other names
Description: Leuconostoc gelidum subsp. gasicomitatum tRNA-Asp
Rfam family: tRNA
About the family: Transfer RNA (tRNA) molecules are approximately 80 nucleotides in length. Their secondary structure includes four short double-helical elements and three loops (D, anti-codon, and T loops). Further hydrogen bonds mediate the characteristic L-shaped molecular structure. tRNAs have two regions of fundamental functional importance: the anti-codon, which is responsible for specific mRNA codon recognition, and the 3' end, to which the tRNAs corresponding amino acid is attached (by aminoacyl-tRNA synthetases). tRNAs cope with the degeneracy of the genetic code in two manners: having more than one tRNA (with a specific anti-codon) for a particular amino acid; and 'wobble' base-pairing, i.e. permitting non-standard base-pairing at the 3rd anti-codon position.
Source: RNAcentral
GGUCGCAUGGUCCAGUUGGUUAGGACGCCUGCCUGUCACGCAGGAGAUCGCGGGUUCGAGCCCCGCUGCGACCGCUA